This 75-nucleotide transfer RNA is filed under the name Sphaerodactylus townsendi. RNAcentral describes it as "tRNA-Ser". It matches the Rfam family "tRNA". Rfam says of the family: Transfer RNA (tRNA) molecules are approximately 80 nucleotides in length. Their secondary structure includes four short double-helical elements and three loops (D, anti-codon, and T loops). Lineage: Eukaryota; Metazoa; Chordata; Lepidosauria; Squamata; Sphaerodactylidae. The record is from RNAcentral.
GGUAGGGAUCUGGCUCAGUGGUAGAGCAUCUACUUGGAACCCAGAAGUUCCCAGGUUCCAACCCUGGCCUCUCUA